RNAcentral lists this ribosomal RNA (493 nucleotides) under uncultured bacterium. RNAcentral's name for it is "partial 16S ribosomal RNA". It matches the Rfam family "Bacterial small subunit ribosomal RNA", at positions 28 to 507 of the family's 1533-position model. The record is from RNAcentral.
GACGAACGCUGGCGGCGUGCUUAACACAUGCAAGUCGACGACGCUACUGAGUAGCAAUAUUUAGUAGUGGAGUGGCGCAAGGGUGAGUAAUGUAUACGUAACCAACCCAUCGGAGACGGAUAACAUUUCGAAAGGGAUGCUAAAACGGCAUGAAGCCACGAUUUCGCAUGAGAUUGUGGUUAAAGAACCGGUAACAGGUUGCCGAUGGCUGGGCGUAUAUCCGAUUAGCUAGUUGGUAGUGUAAUGGACUACCAAGGCGACGAUCGGUAGCUGGUCUGAGAGGAUGAUCAGCCACACUGGCACUGAGAUACGGGCCAGACUCCUACGGGAGGCAGCAGUGGGGAAUAUUGGGCAAUGCCCGCAAGGGUGACCCAGCAACGCCGCGUGGAGGAUGAAGGCCGUAAGGUUGUAAACUCUGACAAGCAGGGAAGAACGGCUAUGGUAAAAGGCCAUAGAAUGACGGUACCUGCCUGAAGCCCCGGCUAACUACGUG